CUAAUACUCCCUCCGUUCGGAAUUACUUGUCUUCAAAAUGGAUGUAUCUAGAACUAAAAUACAUCUAGGUACAUCCAUUUCAAUGACAACUAUUUCCGAACGGAGGGAGCAGAUG
This is a non-coding RNA of Triticum aestivum (bread wheat), 115 nucleotides long. The record is from Rfam. NCBI's taxonomy places the organism in Eukaryota, Viridiplantae, Streptophyta, Magnoliopsida, Poales, Poaceae.